UACGUAGGGUGCAAGCAUUAAUCGGAAUUAUUGGGCGUAAAGGGCGCGUAGGCGGGUAUGUAAGUCAGAUGUGAAAUCCCGGAGCUCAACUCCGGAACUGCAUUUGAAACUGCAUAUCUAGAGGAUAGGCGGAGAAAACGGAAUUCCACAAGUAGCGGUGAAAUGCGUAGAUAUGUGGAAGAACACCUGUGGCGAAAGCGGUUUUCUAGCUUAGACCUGACGCUGAGGCGCGAAAGCAAGGGGAUCAAACAGG
This 253-nucleotide ribosomal RNA is filed under the name uncultured prokaryote. RNAcentral describes it as "partial 16S ribosomal RNA". It matches the Rfam family "Bacterial small subunit ribosomal RNA", at positions 524 to 776 of the family's 1533-position model. The record is from RNAcentral.